AUUUAUUUCAGACAAACAUCAGUUAUUCCUGUUGCAGUUUCCAAAAUUUUUUGCUGUUGAGCAAGCAGAAGAUCAGCAAAAAGAUUCUUUGCCAGAACAGAAAAAAAACAAAGCUAAAACAGGCUUAUCAGUUUUGCCAGAAGGUCAAAUUGGAAAACUUCAAGUGAUGAAAUCCGGACGCACAAGAUUACUAAUCGGAGAAAAUAGUUUCUAUUUAGACUUUUCCAAUUCCGUAAAAAGCAAAAAUGAGGUUGUAUCCAUACAAUUAAAUGAGAGUGAUAAAGAUAUCAUAGUCCUUGGGGAUAUAGAUCAUAAAGCAACUGUUGUACCUGAUGUAGAUAAACUUUUAGAAUCUAUAAGAUAACCUUUUUUUAAUUAAAUGUAGGUCUUAUUAGUUCACAAAAAUUUUAGUAGAUAAAGAUUUUAAUGCAACAUACUAUUCCUGUAGGUAUGUGAUUUUAAAAGUUCUACUCUUUAAAUAAAUUUCCUCAUUUGAGAAAAAAAUCCUCAAAAUAUUUUUUGCUAUUUUGUUGUACUUUUUAUAAAACUUGUAUCAAAUUUUAUAUUUUUUUAACAAAGGCCUCUUUUAAAAUGUCUUUUAAAAAAUCAUAAUUAUUAUAAAUCAAAAUUAUCAUAAUUUGUUUUCCAGGCUUAAGACUUUUUUCAAUUAUUCAUUUACAUCGAUGACAUCGUCAUUUUGUAUUCAAAGCCUUACAACCAUUAUUUAAUUUAUUUCUAAAUAAGUAACCAUUAAUUUAUUAUUUUAAUAUAUGAUUUUAUUCAAAAUUAAUUUUAAAUUUAAAAGAAGAAAGCUUAAAAAAAUUUAAAUUCAUCCUCAAAAUUUUAGACUGUUAUUGACUUUUUAUUUAUAUUGGCAUCUUCACCAUUUUUUUAAGGCCAUUAAUAUAAUUGUUAAUUAACAGCAUUCCAUUCUGCAUAUAUAGACGUGGUUUAAUAUUAAUAAUUAAACAUUAAUAUAGUUUCUAAAUGAUCUGAAAAUUAAUCAUACUCAUUUAUUUUCUAUUAUAAAUUAAAAAAACUUUUUAUACAAAUGUUUGCAUAUUUUUCUUGAAAUAAUUCAUUGAAUGAAUCUUCAUUUGAAUAAGCUAGAAGGUCUUAUUAUAAAAAAGAUGUUAUUUGUAUAUUCUUUUUUUUUAUGUAAAUAAAGGUGAAUUUUUUACAGUAA
This is a non-coding RNA of Parasteatoda tepidariorum (common house spider), 1186 nucleotides long. Lineage: Eukaryota; Metazoa; Arthropoda; Arachnida; Araneae; Theridiidae. The record is from RefSeq and is a predicted model, not a curated record.